Molecule: long non-coding RNA, 632 nt
Organism: Mandrillus leucophaeus (drill)
Lineage: Eukaryota; Metazoa; Chordata; Mammalia; Primates; Cercopithecidae
Exons: 3
Source: RefSeq, a predicted model, not a curated record
ACUAGUUGAAGGUAUAGGACCUAGAAGGUCCUAUACCAGUUAAGCGCCGCCAUUUUGCUUCUUAAUGCGCAUGCUUGAGCCCACUCACCCAGCUCCUGACCACUUAUCUGAAAGCAGCUGAUCACCAGUUUUAGGUGUUUUCUAUGUAUUGGGAGCCUGCCUUUCGCUGGCACUGGCUGUAACCAAUUAUUAUUUUAGAAACACAGUGUAACAACCACCUGACCUUCUCACCUGAUGGUUGCUGGGGGUGUUUCUUCUGCCCUGCUCAUGUCUGUCUGGCUACCUACUGUAACAAGAGGAGCCCUGCCCUGAAGACAGACCAAUACAGGGAAGAAGGGAUUGCCUCAGACCGGGAGGGCCUCUCUGCAAGACUCCUGACAAGUUGAUCUCAUUUUUCUUCCUCUGUAUCUGAGGAAUGGCCUAUCCAGGGACUGGCAAAAGGAGAAAAACAAGAUGCAGAGGAAUGAGACCGAGAAUAUCCCAGUGUGAACAGUUCCCCCAAAGUGCUUCAUUUCGGCUCCAGGCUGGAGUGCACCUCGUAGCUCGACGUGUGAUCAUGGCUCACUGCAGCCUCAAACUCCCGGGCUCAAGGGAUCCUCCCACCUCAGCCUCCUGAGUAUCUGGGACUACAG